Molecule: unclassified non-coding RNA, 296 nt
Filed under: Xanthoria sp.
Lineage: Eukaryota; Fungi; Ascomycota; Lecanoromycetes; Teloschistales; Teloschistaceae
Also listed under: 1 other name
Description: partial contains 5.8S ribosomal RNA, internal transcribed spacer 2, and large subunit ribosomal RNA
Source: RNAcentral
AACGCACAUAGCGCCCGCCGGCCAUUCCGGCGGGCAUGCCUGUCCGAGCGUCGAUGACGCCUUUCGAGCCCCUCUGAUGGGCUCGGUGUUGGGGCGCUAGGGGGCGGUUUCUCGCGAAGCUCCCCCUAGGCCCCUAAGCAGAAGUGCGCGGUCCGUCUGCGGGCCCCGGGUACAGUAACUUUACCGUUAGAUGCCCUGGGAGAAGCAGCUGGGCUUGCCGUAAAACCCCCGACAUAGGGACUCCGGUCCCGCCAUAUGUUGACCUCGGAUCAGGUAGGACUACCCGCUGAACUUAA